Molecule: ribosomal RNA, 119 nt
Organism: Brassica napus (rape)
Lineage: Eukaryota; Viridiplantae; Streptophyta; Magnoliopsida; Brassicales; Brassicaceae
Source: RefSeq, a predicted model, not a curated record
GGGUGCGAUCAUACCAGCACUAAUGCACCGGAUCCCAUCAGAACUCCGCAGGUAAGUGUGCUUGGGCGAGAGUAAUACUGGGAUGGGUUACCUACCGAGAAGACCCCUUAUUGCACCCC